RNAcentral lists this ribosomal RNA (262 nucleotides) under Klebsiella pneumoniae. RNAcentral's name for it is "partial 16S ribosomal RNA". It matches the Rfam family "Bacterial small subunit ribosomal RNA", at positions 1 to 257 of the family's 1533-position model. Lineage: Bacteria; Pseudomonadati; Pseudomonadota; Gammaproteobacteria; Enterobacterales; Enterobacteriaceae. The record is from RNAcentral.
ACUUAAAUUGAAGAGUUUGAUCAUGGCUCAGAUUGAACGCUGGCGGCAGGCCUAACACAUGCAAGUCGAGCGGUAGCACAGAGAGCUUGCUCUCGGGUGACGAGCGGCGGACGGGUGAGUAAUGUCUGGGAAACUGCCUGAUGGAGGGGGAUAACUACUGGAAACGGUAGCUAAUACCGCAUAAUGUCGCAAGACCAAAGUGGGGGACCUUCGGGCCUCAUGCCAUCAGAUGUGCCCAGAUGGGAUUAGCUAGUAGGUGGGG